Molecule: small RNA, 122 nt
Filed under: unclassified sequences
Description: LOOT RNA
Rfam family: LOOT RNA
About the family: Latescibacteria, OD1/Parcubacteria, OP11, TM7. Lineage (Microgenomates, aka OP11)
Source: Rfam by way of RNAcentral
UGCCUAAACCAACAAAUUUAUUUGUAGGCAUGGCAAAAAAGACCUAUGGAAGGUACUGAACCCUGCGUUCAGCGACUCUUCCAUGGGCUGUACUCCGAAAGGUGUAUGGGAUCGCAAGAUCU